CCUACGGGUGGCAGCAGUCGAGAAUCAUUCACAAUGGGGGAAACCCUGAUGGUGCGACGCCGCGUGGGGGAAUGAAGGUCUUCGGAUUGUAAACCCCUGUCAUGUGGGAGCAAAUUAAAAAGAUAGUACCACAAGAGGAAGAGACGGCUAACUCUGUGCCAGCAGCCGCGGUAAUACAGAGGUCUCAAGCGUUGUUCGGAAUCACUGGGCGUAAAGCGUGCGUAGGCGGUUUCGUAAGUCGUGUGUGAAAGGCGCGGGCUCAACCCGCGGACGGCAUAUGAUACUGCGAGACUAGAGUGAUGGAGGGGGAACUGGAACUCUCGGUGUAGCAGUGAAAUGCGUAGAUAUCGGGAGGAACACUAGUGGCGAAGGCGGGUCCCUGGACAUUAACUGACGCUGAGGCACGAAGGCGUGGGGAGCGAAAGGGAUUAGAUACCCCGGUAGUC
RNAcentral lists this ribosomal RNA (446 nucleotides) under uncultured bacterium. Its description in RNAcentral is "partial 16S ribosomal RNA". It matches the Rfam family "Bacterial small subunit ribosomal RNA", at positions 338 to 795 of the family's 1533-position model. The record is from RNAcentral.